CCGGCUUAGUACGUGGGUGGGAGACCACCUGAGAAUCCUGG
This 41-nucleotide ribosomal RNA is filed under the name Echinops telfairi (small Madagascar hedgehog). The record is from RNAcentral. Lineage: Eukaryota; Metazoa; Chordata; Mammalia; Afrosoricida; Tenrecidae.